RNAcentral lists this ribosomal RNA (519 nucleotides) under uncultured bacterium. RNAcentral describes it as "partial 16S ribosomal RNA". It matches the Rfam family "Bacterial small subunit ribosomal RNA", at positions 355 to 864 of the family's 1533-position model. The record is from RNAcentral.
UGGGGAAUCUUCCGCAAUGGACGAAAGUCUGACGGAGCAACGCCGCGUGUAUGAUGAAGGUCUUCGGAUUGUAAAGUACUGUCAUUGGGGAAGAACGGUUUUCUUGAAAAGAUUGAGAAGACAUGACGGUACCCAAGGAGGAAGCCCCGGCUAACUACGUGCCAGCAGCCGCGGUAAUACGUAGGGGGCAAGCGUUGUCCGGAAUUAUUGGGCGUAAAGGGCGCGUAGGCGGGCCUUUAAGUCCGGUGUGAAAGAUCAGGGCUCAACCCUGAGAGUGCAUCGGAAACUGGAGGCCUUGAGGACAGGAGAGGAAAGUGGAAUUCCACGUGUAGCGGUGAAAUGCGUAGAUAUGUGGAGGAACACCAGUGGCGAAGGCGACUUUCUGGACUGUAACUGACGCUGAGGCGCGAAAGCGUGGGGAGCAAACAGGAUUAGAUACCCUGGUAGUCCACGCCGUAAACGAUGAGUGCUAGGUGUAGAGGGUAUCGACCCCUUCUGUGCCGCAGUUAACACAAUAAG